AGACAAACGAUGACGGAACCAAGCAUAUAGGCGAAACGUACAGAGAGCCGGUGGAAGGUGCGAACCGGACGUAGACGCUAUGCGGAGCACUCCCGAGUUGCUGCCUCGAACGUUCAAGUAGUUGCAGCCGGCUAGACGCCGUUACCCAUCUCGGUCUGUCCUUAAGCUUUAAGCAGACCUAUGAAGGCCGUAUGCGCGAGCACGCGGCGAAUUAGGGUGGUACCACGAGAAUCAGCUCCUCGUCCCUUGU
This 250-nucleotide non-coding RNA is filed under the name Paenibacillus sp. RNAcentral describes it as "T-box sequence". It matches the Rfam family "T-box leader". Rfam says of the family: Uncharged tRNA acts as the effector for transcription antitermination of genes in the T-box leader family. Lineage: Bacteria; Bacillati; Bacillota; Bacilli; Caryophanales; Paenibacillaceae. The record is from RNAcentral.